Molecule: ribosomal RNA, 466 nt
Filed under: uncultured bacterium
Lineage: Bacteria
Description: partial 16S ribosomal RNA
Rfam family: Bacterial small subunit ribosomal RNA
Source: RNAcentral
GACGAACGCUGGCGGCGUGCUUAACACAUGCAAGUCGAACGGAAAGGCCCUGCUUGCAGGGUACUCGAGUGGCGAACGGGUGAGUAACACGUGGGUGAUCUGCCCUGCACUUCGGGAUAAGCUUGGGAAACUGGGUCUAAUACCGGAUAGGAGCCAUCUUUAGUGUGGUGGUUGGAAAGUUUUUUCGGUGUAGGAUGAGCUCGCGGCCUAUCAGCUUGUUGGUGGGGUAAUGGCCUACCAAGGCGGCGACGGGUAGCCGGCCUGAGAGGGUGUACGGCCACAUUGGGACUGAGAUACGGCCCAGACUCCUACGGGGGGGAGCAGUGGGGAAUAUUGCACAAUGGGCGCAAGCCUGAUGCAGCGACGCCGCGUGGGGGAUGAAGGCCUUCGGGUUGUAAACUCCUUUCGCUAGGGACGAAGCUUUGUUGUGACGGUACCUAGAUAAGAAGCACCGGCUAACUACGUG